UAGCUUAGUUGGUAAAGCGCUCGUCUAGCAUACAAGAGUCCUGGGUUCAAAUCCCAG
Non-coding RNA from Aedes aegypti (yellow fever mosquito), 57 nucleotides. Lineage: Eukaryota; Metazoa; Arthropoda; Insecta; Diptera; Culicidae. The record is from Rfam.